Molecule: ribosomal RNA, 601 nt
Filed under: Bacillus cereus
Lineage: Bacteria; Bacillati; Bacillota; Bacilli; Caryophanales; Bacillaceae
Description: bacterial SSU rRNA
Rfam family: Bacterial small subunit ribosomal RNA
Source: RNAcentral
AUGCAAGUCGAGCGAAUGGAUUGAGAGCUUGCUCUUAUGAAGUUAGCGGGCGGACGGGUGAGUAACACGUGGGUAACCUGCCCAUAAGACUGGGAUAACUCCGGGAAACCGGGGCUAAUACCGGAUAACAUUUUGAACUGCAUGGUUCGAAAUUGAAAGGCGGCUUCGGCUGUCACUUAUGGAUGGACCCGCGUCGCAUUAGCUAGUUGGUGAGGUAACGGCUCACCAAGGCAACGAUGCGUAGCCGACCUGAGAGGGUGAUCGGCCACACUGGGACUGACACACGGCCCAGACUCCUACGGGAGGCAGCAGUAGGGAAUCUUCCGCAAUGGACGAAAGUCUGACGGAGCAACGCCGCGUGAGUGAUGAAGGCUUUCGGGUCGUAAAACUCUGUUGUUAGGGAAGAACAAGUGCUAAUUGAAUAAGCUGGCACCUUGACGGUACCUAACCAGAAAGCCACGGCUAACUACGUGCCAGCAGCCGCGGUAAUACGUAGGUGGCAAGCGUUAUCCGGAAUUAUUGGGCGUAAAGCGCGCGCAGGUGGUUUCUUAAGUCUGAUGUGAAAGCCCACGGCUCAACCGUGGAGGGUCAUUGGAAACUG